AGAAAGUUAGUCUAACCAAGACAGUUGAUUUCGGCUCAACAAAUCACAGAUCAAGUCCUGUGACUUUCUU
Molecule: transfer RNA, 70 nt
Filed under: Jacana jacana (wattled jacana)
Lineage: Eukaryota; Metazoa; Chordata; Aves; Charadriiformes; Jacanidae
Also listed under: 1 other name
Description: tRNA-Arg
Rfam family: tRNA
About the family: Transfer RNA (tRNA) molecules are approximately 80 nucleotides in length.
Source: RNAcentral